AUGCUUUUACUGUUGGCAUUGCUGCUGCUCUGUAAUGAAGUUGGCAACGCACACUGCUCAACUAUCCACGAAAACAGCGUCGAUCUGCACUCGCUGCUUGCCUUCAAGCAGAGCAUCACCAACGAUCCUCAAGGAGCCUUGAGUAACUGGGACAACAGGACCCACUUCUGCCGCUGGAAUGGUGUCAACUGCACCUCCACGACACCACCGUUCCGUGUCUCGUCGCUUAUUCUCGCUAGCCAAAACUUAGCAGGCCAAAUUAGCCCCUCUCUUGGAAACCUAACUUUCCUCACGUGGCUUGACCUUUCCGGGAACUACUUUGUUGGCCCAUUGCCUGUCCUUGGCCAUCUUCAAAGACUACAGACACUUUACCUCAACAACAACAGUUUAAAUGGGAUAAUUCCUGAUUCACUUACCAACUGUUCCAACUUUAUCAACUUAGAUAUCUCUGUAAACUCCCUCGUGGGUGUAAUUCCUACAAAACUGGUCUUCCUUUCAAGUCUGGCCUACUUAGAUCUCUCUGCAAACUCGCUAGCCGUGGGUCAAAUUCCUCUGAAACUAGACUUCCUGCCAAAACUGAUUUACUUGGAUCUCUCUGUAAAUUUGCUAGUAGGCCAAAUUCCUCCGAGUUUAGGCUUUCUUCCUAAUCUAACAUAUAUCUUUCUUCGAUCAAAUCAACUUAAGGGGAGCAUUCCUGAGCUUGGGCAAUUUCCGCAAUUGCAAGAGCUGAUCCUGGGAAAAAAUAAGCUUUCAUGUGAACUCCCACAUGCCAUCUUGAAUGCUUCUGGUUCGCUCCAAAUUUUGGGCUUGGAAUUCAAUAUGCUAAGCAACACAUUGCCACCUAAUAUUGGCGACCGACUUCCUAAGCUCAUUCAUCUUACAUUGUCUGGUAACACGUUUGAAGGUAACAUCCCAGCUUCCCUAGGAAAUGCUCAAGGUUUAAAACUGAUAGAUUUAUCAGAUAACAGUUUCACAUGGAUAAUUCCUACUUCUUUUGGGAAGCUUUCAAAUCUGACUAUUCUAAACCUUGAGAAUAACCUGCUUGAAACAAGGGACAACAGAGACUGGGAGUUCUUAAAUGCACUAAGAAAUAACAGUUUCACCGGGAUAAUUCCUACUUCUUUUGGAAAGCUUUCAAAUCUAACUACCCUAAACCUUGAGAAUAACCUGCUUGAAACAAGGGAUAACAGAGACUGGGAGUUCUUAAAUGCACUGAGAAAUUGUCGGUCUCUAAAGGUACUAUCAGUCUCUUUGAAUCAGCUGCAGGGAUCUACUCCCCAGUCCAUUGGUAACCUAUCCCCCAGCCUUGAGCAACUCUUGCUGUUUGGAAACAACUUAUCAGGACAAGUACCCCAGAGCAUCAGAAAACUUAGCGCCUUAAUUAAACUGUCAAACAGCUUCACCGGCCUAAUCCCAUCCUCUGUUGGCAAACUUACUCGAUUGACAUAUCUGCAUAUAGGUGAAAAUGAGUUCGAGGGCCAUAUACCAGCCAGCUUGGGAAACCUUCCACUCUUACGGCUGCACCUUGGCGAUAACAAUUUCCAAGUCUAUAUACCAUCAAAAUUUGGAAACCUCCAACAACUAAUAUCAUUGAAUCUCAGCCACAACUACCUCCAAGGUGACAUACCUCACAUUAGUACCCUUAAGCAACUUACUACUUUGGAUCUUUCAUCAAAUAAGCUAACAGGGCAAAUUCCUGAUUCUUUGGGCCAAUGUAACGGCUUAGUGAGUCUGCAAAUAGAUCAAAACUUUAUGUCGGGAAACAUUCCAACAACAUUUGGCAACCUGUUGUCACCGAGCAUGCUUAAUAUUUCACACAACAACUUGUCAGGCACUAUCCCGUUAGCUCUGAGCAAACUAGAGUACCUCAUCAAUCUUGACCUUUCGUGUAAUAAUCUAGAAGGAGAAUUACCAAGGAAUGGAGUAUUUGGAAAUGCCACAGCUGUUUCAAUUGAGGGUAAUUGGGGGCUCUUUGGAGGUGCGAUAGAUCUUCACAUGCCCAUGUGCCCUACUGUUUCUCGGAGGUCAGAGACACAAUACUAUUUGGUCCGAGCGUUGAUUCCAUUAUUUGGCUUCACAUCACUUGUAAUGUUGGCUUACAUUGUAUUCUUUGGGAAGAAGACGUCACGAACAACAUAUUCGGUUUUGCUUUCUUCUGGUAAGAAAUUCCCUAGAGUUGCCUACAAUGAUGUAGCUCGAGCUACAGGGAAGUUCUCAGAGUUAAACCUUAUUGGGAGAGGAAGCUAUGGUUCAGUGUACAGAGGAAAGUUAACUCAAGCUAAAAUACAAGUGGCUAUUAAGGUUUUUGACCUUGAUAUGAAAUGUGCGGACAAAAGUUUUGUAAUAGAAUAUGAGGUUUUGAGUAGAAUUCGGCACCGGAACCUUGUACCUAUCCUAACUGCAUGUUCAACAGUACACAAUAAAGGUGACACUUUCAAGGCUCUAAUUUAUGAAUUCAUGCCUAACGGGAAUUUGGACACAUGGUUGCAUAACAAAUUUUUGAGUAGUUCUUCAAAAUAUUUGAGCUUAUCUCAAAGAGCAAUCAUAGCUACUGGUAUAGCCAAUGCAUUGGCUUAUUUACACAAUGAUUGUGAAAGGCAGAUUGUACAUUGUGAUUUGAAGCCAAAAAAUAUCCUUCUUGACGAUGAUAUGAAUGCUUACUUUGGAGACUUCGGCAUUGCAAGCCUCAUCGGACAUUCAAGCCUAGCUACCUCAACUGGGCUGAAGGGAACGAUAGGCCACAUAGCUCCAGGUAUAUAUAUAGCAGUACCUGCACUUUCAUUUUGA
Molecule: ribosomal RNA, 2787 nt
Filed under: Triticum aestivum (bread wheat)
Lineage: Eukaryota; Viridiplantae; Streptophyta; Magnoliopsida; Poales; Poaceae
Description: partial small subunit ribosomal RNA
Source: RNAcentral